RNAcentral lists this ribosomal RNA (305 nucleotides) under uncultured bacterium. Its description in RNAcentral is "bacterial SSU rRNA". It matches the Rfam family "Bacterial small subunit ribosomal RNA", at positions 337 to 659 of the family's 1533-position model. The record is from RNAcentral.
UCCUACGGGAGGCAGCAGUAGGGAAUAUUGCUCAAUGGGGGAAACCCUGAAGCAGCAACGCCGCGUGGAGGAUGAAGGUUUUCGGAUUGUAAACUCCUUUUGUUAGAGAAGAUAAUGACGGUAUCUAACGAAUAAGCACCGGCUAACUCCGUGCCAGCAGCCGCGGUAAUACGGAGGGUGCAAGCGUUACUCGGAAUCACUGGGCGUAAAGAGCGCGUAGGCGGGCUGACAAGUCAGAUGUGAAAUCCGGGGGCUCAACCCCCGAACUGCAUUUGAAACUGUUGGUCUUGAGUAUCGGAGAGGCA